Molecule: ribosomal RNA, 300 nt
Filed under: uncultured bacterium
Lineage: Bacteria
Description: bacterial SSU rRNA
Rfam family: Bacterial small subunit ribosomal RNA
Source: RNAcentral
CACGUAAGAAUCUGCCCCUCGGUCGGGGACAACUCUUGGAAACGAGAGCUAAUACCCGAUACGCUGUGGAGUGAAAGAAUUUCGCCGAGGGAUGAUCUUGCGUCUGAUUAGCUAGUUGGUGUGGUAAUGGCAUACCAAGGCGACGAUCAGUAGCUGGUCUGAGAGGAUGGACAGCCACAUUGGAACUGAGACACGGUCCAAACUCCUACGGGAGGCAGCAGUGGGGAAUAUUGCACAAUGGGCGAAAGCCUGAUGCAGCCAUGCCGCGUGUGUGAAGAAGGCCUUCGGUUGUAAGCACUU